RNAcentral lists this ribosomal RNA (699 nucleotides) under Malassezia furfur. Its description in RNAcentral is "partial 26S ribosomal RNA". It matches the Rfam family "Eukaryotic large subunit ribosomal RNA", at positions 1 to 615 of the family's 3401-position model. The record is from RNAcentral. Lineage: Eukaryota; Fungi; Basidiomycota; Malasseziomycetes; Malasseziales; Malasseziaceae.
AUCUAGUUGUGGGCUAUGAAUCCCCCUUAAAAAAAGAGGGGGGCGGGCACCACUUCUUUUUAUUAAAAGUUUUCCCUGUAAGGCGAGUGAAGAGGGAAGAGCUCAAAUUGAAAGCUGGUACYUUCGGUAUCCGCGUUGUAACCUCGAGAACACGUUUUCCKUGCGGCGCUAUGGACAAGUUCCUUGGAACAGGAMAUSGUAGAGGGUGAAAAUCCCGUACUUGCCAKGRAUGUACCGUGCUUUGCGAUACGUGCUCUAAGAGUCGAGUUGUUUGGGAUUGCAGCUCAAAAUGGGUGGUAGACUCCAUCUAAAGCUAAAUAUCGGGGAGAGACCGAUAGCGAACAAGUACCGUGAGGGAAAGAUGAAAAGCACUUUGGAAAGAGAGUUAAAAGUACGUGAAAUUGUCGAAAAGGGAAGCGCUUGAAGUCAGCCAUGCCGCUCAGGACUCAGCCUGGCUUUUGCUUGGUGUAUUUCCUGGGUAGCAAGUCAGCAUUKGUUUGGAUCGUCGGAGAAGCAUAGUCGGAAUGUGGCGCCCUCGGGCGUGUUAUAGCCUUCUAUUGGAUAMCRYRAUCYRRAYCRARGAACKCRRCRSGCCUUAUGGCGGGUCUUCGGACACCUUCGCGUAGAGGGGGGGGAAAAAUAUAUGUGAGGGGGGGGGUUCCCCCCCCCCCCAAAAGGGCCCCCCCAACACCAUCGAUA